UCCCAUCCUGCUCUCGACUAUUGAAGGUAACAAGCAAGGAAGGAGCACAGUAUCUCUGCAGAAUGGAAAGGGAGAGGGGAGGGGAGGUUGCAGCCUCCUGGAGCCCCCCGUGGCACCGGUCCCCCUCUGCAGCAUCGCAUGCUUGAGAGCUUCUACUCUUUGCCAGGGGGCGCGAAUCCAGGGGCUUGACAACAUGGAGGUUGAUGGGACCCAGGGUAGGGUUUGCCCAUGAAGGGCUCCACCAGAUUAACCACUCUCCUGCAGUUCUCUGAACUCUUGGGAGGUUUCUGUUGCCAGAGGAAACCUCUGUGCACGUUGCCUUUCUACGAAGCCCAGUCCUGUACUGUGCUGUGCCGAGCACAUCCGUGAGGUGCUGAGCACCCUCCAUGCCCCUUAUGGCCACUUCUGCAGGGACUGGUCAUGCACAACGUUCAGACAUGCCAGCAGGGUAUAUACUAGAGCGCAGGGCCUGUGACCUUGGGAUCCCAGGAGGUGACUGGGUGCGGAUGCAGGAGUUGCUAAAGACUUGAUGCCCAGGGAGGCAACUAAGACUCUUCUUCAGUGCCUAUGGCAGUGACACCCUUCUUGUUUGCCUCCCAGCUUCAGGAAAUCCUGAGACCUCCCAGGACAAUGUGUGGUGGGAGCACCUGCUGCUGAAGUUCCUGAACAUGACACUGAAGAGCAUUGCUGACGAUGCCUGGAGCAGUCAGCUGAGCCUGGAGCUGCAGCACCAGACAGCCAGUUAUGCCUGCUCCUCCCCGGAGAAGAGUUUCCUAUAUAAGGCACUUGGUACCACUUUGGCCUCUUGCCAGGAUGUUGCCCAUGUGAAAUCCCAGCUCCAGAAAUCUCUGAAGGGCACAGAUUACAUGAACGCUUCUGAGAGAGAGGUGAGGACCCUGUUCUCUCCAGACAUAUCAGGUCCUCCCGUGUCCUCACUUCUCUGUUGCUUUGUGUCUCGGGUUUGUUUGCUUCCUGGCCUUCCCUUGUCCUUUCCCUCAGACAGCCCCCUGACUUGUUGCGGGUCGGACGGGCAGUUCUAGUAUCAGGGAGAUGGGGAGGACUCUGGGGUCUGUCAGCCAGACAGCCCUGCUCACUCCCCAGUGCGUUUCUUGGCUUCCAGCACGUUGUGACCAUCCUGGCAUUCUCAGCUGAGGGCCACGUGGACCUCACCCUGGGCACGCUGGAGGACUUUGGUGCGGCUCUGAGUAAAGUGCAGGUGUCAGGGAUAGUCAGCUGCCUGCAGGUAAUGGAGCUGGGGGGUUUCUCGCACUUCCUUCCCCUAGAAACCCUUGAGAAGAGCAGCUUGGCGGUGGCUCCUCUCCCUGGUAAUGCCCUCUCCCAGGGAACAUGCUCCACAUCAGGUCUCCAGUGAUACAGAGGGGAACACAGUUUCUACUACUCAGGUUUUUCAUGUCCCAGGUUAAUGGGUCAACAAUUAACCAGCCCCUUUCAGGCACUGAGGCAACUACAUCUGAUGUUCACCCAGAGAAAGAGAUUGUGUCUUUCUCACAUCUUUCAGUUAGCCAUGGGAGAGGAGACAUGAGCCCUGUUGCCCAGCCUCAAAGUACCAGCUCCGAGUGCAUAAUCCACAUGCCCCAAAUGCUGUAA
Long non-coding RNA from Alligator mississippiensis (American alligator), 1608 nucleotides. RefSeq lists it as uncharacterized. NCBI's taxonomy places the organism in Eukaryota, Metazoa, Chordata, Crocodylia, Alligatoridae. The record is from RefSeq and is a predicted model, not a curated record. The transcript has 3 exons.